This is a long non-coding RNA of Dinoponera quadriceps, 1501 nucleotides long. RefSeq lists it as uncharacterized. NCBI's taxonomy places the organism in Eukaryota, Metazoa, Arthropoda, Insecta, Hymenoptera, Formicidae. The transcript is spliced from 3 exons. The record is from RefSeq and is a predicted model, not a curated record.
UCACGCAGCCGGAUCGAUGGAUCGAUCGUCGAGCCAGACGUGCACGUAGCUUCAAUUGUGAGAGACUCUCUCCGAGCCAGCGGAGAGUUUUGCCAACCGCUGGCGCAAAAAGAUCGUCACCUCGAAGAGACACACAGCCUUUACAUCGGCCGGCAGACGUUAGGGCGCAGCCAUACGCACACGAGCGAGCCGGAAAGUGUGUGUGGAUCGCGGUUACCGUGGGUCUUGGGGUAGGGCAGUGGAAAUUUCCACUGUGCCCGCUGGGACGGUCAAUACUCUCUCCGUGCCGUAACGUGCGCCGCACGGUUAUCCGGAUUACAGGGAGUUUCAUCGGCGACAGACCGCGCGCGCACCAUUACGGCUUCGCGCCGCCGGGCGGUCUAUGAAUUUUCGAUCAAAUGUGAUCUUGCAUCGGACCUCUCUCUCUCUCUCUGCACCGAGCACGAGUAUCUCUUAAGAUCCGGAUCGCUUGUACUCGAGUCGUUCUCUCUCUCGUGUAGCAAAAUGAAUCAGCUCUCCUCCGAACCUAUUCUGGCUCCGGGGUUGUCGCAACUGGCACGUUCCACCAGUUGGCCAAUCGUUGACGGACACGCUCGUACGAGGUGGACCGACACCAUGCGACACUAAAAUUAUAUUUCGCCGGGAAGCCAGUCUGUUUCACCGAAUACAACAAGCAGGUAACGCCUGCCCGAGACUCGAGUGCGCGAGAGGGAGUGCGUUGCAUGAGGCUAGCGACGGUCUCGACGCUGCUCGAAUAUCGUAUCGAACUCAGCACCAUCUCGACGUAGCCGGCAGGAAUCGGUCUCGAGCCAAGAUCGAGAGAAUGACGUUCGUGGAGAAAAAAUGUCCUGCAAAUUACUUGCAAAGGGAGAAAGCGUUCAUAUGACGAGUUAUGCGCGAUAUUAUGCUGCCUGUCGGCCUUCAAUUAUACAAAUGCAGGAUAAUUUAGUCACAAACAUGCGAGUGCCUCCGCAAAGACGUCAUUCCAGCAUUGCCCUCGUUACUCUCACGAUUACAUAUGAAGCACUAAAUUCAAGACGCCAGCUAAUUCCCGUAUAGCCGCACACACCACGCCGAUUAACGCUCGGCACAUCACCACGCAUAAAUAUACAAGAUUUACGCAUAUAAAAAAGCAUAUAAAAGAAAUUACACACUGUGGAACUUUGUGUUUUCCUGAAUAUCAAAUGAACUUCCGCAAACUAUGCGCGAUAUCAUGGAUGAUAGCAUAACAUAAUACGAAUGAUAUAACGUCUGUAUAAUUCGAGACGUAUAUUUCGAGACGAAUGAUAUAACGUCUGUAUAAUUCGAGACGUAAUGCGGUAAUUAUUAGGCUUUGCCUGUUACCUAACAAAACUGCAACGCCACUCAUCUCGUAAAUUACUCGCUUAUAUAGUGACGAACAAGAUUCUCGUACGUAUUAGUAUGAGUGAUCUUUUAGAAAAAGUCGACUUUUUAAUCUUGAAUCGGAAUAGCUAGAAUCAAUUUAUUUAAAAAAUCGGAC